Long non-coding RNA from Hyalella azteca, 810 nucleotides. RefSeq lists it as uncharacterized. The transcript is spliced from 3 exons. The record is from RefSeq and is a predicted model, not a curated record. NCBI's taxonomy places the organism in Eukaryota, Metazoa, Arthropoda, Malacostraca, Amphipoda, Hyalellidae.
GGCAGCCGGAAGGUGAGGGUGUGCGUCAGUCGAGGUGCGAGGAACGCAACUAAAUUACUCCCCUAGAGAUGGUGUCUUGGGACGUGGUUAUUGGCAUCAGUUUCUUCGUUGCAGUUUUCUUUUUAGGAGUCGUGGUUCGAGCCUACGAGGUGGUUUCGCACUACCAUGGCACCCAACGUCCUCGAAAAUAAAUUUGCGAGGAGAUCUUCAUUUUUACGUCACUUGACUUCACGUUCUCAGUCGCACGAACAUUUGAACUCUCGUAGUGAUGAACAUCGGCGACAGAAGGAGCGGCUCACUCUACGUCAACUACAAUCGGCGAUGCAGCGGAAAAAAAUCCCCUCUAGACGACCCAAAUGGCCGAUGAAACAGCGAUUCUUGAAGAAAUACGUCCGUCUCCGGACUCCUGGGGCUCGGUCUCGAACAAAGACGGUUCUAAUUGAAGAUGAUUGUAUGAUGACGAAUGGUGCAGUUACACCUUGUUCUUCAAAGGAAGUUAGAUCACGACGAGCGGGCGGAAAGAAGCAUAAAAUUGGGACACGACCUCGAAACGAGGUUGUCGACAAAGAUAUUGAAAUUCCUUCUUGUGAGACAAGCUUUCAUUCCAAGGCCACAGCGUCUCCAUCCCGCAAGUACAGGAGCAAUUUUUGGAAGUUGAAUUUGUUGCGGAAGGUCAUCAGCUACAUCAGUCAUCUGAAAAAUUUGCUGAAAUCUUCCAGCGAUCAAGACGAUGAUAUGAUUUUUUUGCAGACUGAAUUAACCAGCCUUGCGUUGUCAGUGCAUCCAUAAACUUAUUCGUCAAGUCAUUUU